This is a long non-coding RNA of Poecilia latipinna (sailfin molly), 743 nucleotides long. RefSeq lists it as uncharacterized. Lineage: Eukaryota; Metazoa; Chordata; Actinopteri; Cyprinodontiformes; Poeciliidae. The record is from RefSeq and is a predicted model, not a curated record. The transcript has 3 exons.
GUGGAAAGCAGAGAAUAAAUCCUGGAUAAAUAGACGGACGGCAGGAAGCGAGGCGGAGGGUCAAAGGUCAUGCAGACAGACGGCAGGCAGGACGACAUGAGGGAGGCAGAAACUCAGCAGCGUCACUUUAACAAAGAGCAAAGAUUUAAGUUAAAGUCCAGAAGGUUCAGUUAGGGAAUAAAAGCCCAGUUUUAUUUUUUAAAUGAGUUGAUUCAGAUUUAAAGUUUGAUAAAAUGUUUUAACUCUUUCAUCACAAACUCCAGGGAAAGCUUUGGGGAUUUUAUGUGAUCAACAAAAAUCAGCACAAAAUUGUAAAGUAUUAAUUUUUGUUUUUGCAAAAAAUCAAUUCUCACAGUGUGAUCUGCUUAGUUUUAGACCCCAUUACUCUGAUACCUAUAAAUAAAACCCAGCUGCUUCAGCUUGUUAGAGAAUCGAUUUGUUUGAGUAGAAAUCAAAGUGUUCAUUAUUAUUUUAAUUUUUCCUUCCUGAUGUUGUUUCCAGUCAAUCCUGAAUGAGUGAAGCACCCAAGAGGCUCAAAGCGCAUUAUCCAUCAGAACGGUCCAGUCAAAGCCCGGAUCUUAACCCAAUCAGAACAAGAGAUGAGCAUUUCUGUGCCUUAGAGACACAGAAGAAAGGUGGUGACCUGAAGACUAAUUCCUGCCACACCUUUUAGAAAAUACUUCACAAAUGAACUUUUAUUUUUCUCCCAGUUUGCGGCGAUGCGCUGCUGUUGGUCUGGCAGG